RNAcentral lists this ribosomal RNA (559 nucleotides) under Variovorax sp. EECC-146. RNAcentral's name for it is "bacterial SSU rRNA". It matches the Rfam family "Bacterial small subunit ribosomal RNA", at positions 87 to 642 of the family's 1533-position model. Lineage: Bacteria; Pseudomonadati; Pseudomonadota; Betaproteobacteria; Burkholderiales; Comamonadaceae. The record is from RNAcentral.
GGCGGCGAGUGGCGAACGGGUGAGUAAUACAUCGGAACGUGCCCAAUCGUGGGGGAUAACGCAGCGAAAGCUGUGCUAAUACCGCAUACGAUCUACGGAUGAAAGCAGGGGAUCGCAAGACCUUGCGCGAAUGGAGCGGCCGAUGGCAGAUUAGGUAGUUGGUGAGGUAAAGGCUCACCAAGCCUUCGAUCUGUAGCUGGUCUGAGAGGACGACCAGCCACACUGGGACUGAGACACGGCCCAGACUCCUACGGGAGGCAGCAGUGGGGAAUUUUGGACAAUGGGCGAAAGCCUGAUCCAGCCAUGCCGCGUGCAGGAUGAAGGCCUUCGGGUUGUAAACUGCUUUUGUACGGAACGAAACGGCCUUUUCUAAUAAAGAGGGCUAAUGACGGUACCGUAAGAAUAAGCACCGGCUAACUACGUGCCAGCAGCCGCGGUAAUACGUAGGGUGCAAGCGUUAAUCGGAAUUACUGGGCGUAAAGCGUGCGCAGGCGGUUAUGUAAGACAGUUGUGAAAUCCCCGGGCUCAACCUGGGAACUGCAUCUGUGACUGCAUAGCU